RNAcentral lists this ribosomal RNA (497 nucleotides) under uncultured bacterium. RNAcentral describes it as "partial 16S ribosomal RNA". It matches the Rfam family "Bacterial small subunit ribosomal RNA", at positions 28 to 507 of the family's 1533-position model. The record is from RNAcentral.
GAUGAACGCUGGCGGCGUGCCUAAUACAUGCAAGUCGAGCGAACGGACGAGAAGCUUGCUUCUCUGAUGUUAGCGGCGGACGGGUGAGUAACACGUGGAUAACCUACCUAUAAGACUGGGAUAACUUCGGGAAACCGGAGCUAAUACCGGAUAAUAUUUUGAACCGCAUGGUUCAAAAGUGAAAGACGGUCUUGCUGUCACUUAUAGAUGGAUCCGCGCUGCAUUAGCUAGUUGGUAAGGUAACGGCUUACCAAGGCAACGAUGCAUAGCCGACCUGAGAGGGUGAUAGGCCACACUGGAACUGAGACACGGUCAAGACUCCUACGGGAGGCAGCAGUAGGGAAUCUUCCGCAAUGGGCGAAAGCCUGACGGAGCAACGCGGCGUGAGUGAUGAAGGUCUUCGGAUCGUAAAACUCUGUUAUUAGGGAAGAACAUAUGUGUAAGUAACUGUGCACAUCGUGACGGUACCUAAUCAGAAAGCCACGGCUAACUACGUG